Molecule: long non-coding RNA, 685 nt
Filed under: Calidris pygmaea (Spoon-billed sandpiper)
Lineage: Eukaryota; Metazoa; Chordata; Aves; Charadriiformes; Scolopacidae
Description: lncRNA (ENSCPGG00000003523.1)
Source: RNAcentral
CUGUGCUUGCAGCUUGGUGAGACCCAAACAUCACUGAAGGCAUUUUCUGCUCUUCUCUUGCAGUGAAGUCCCAGGUAUGUGAGAGCAGAACAGCUCUGUUGCGGGGCAGGACGUGGGGCUCGACACGAAGCACGCCUUGAAGAACUGCCCCACACAUGUUUUCUCCCUCCAGAGACUUUCAGGCUGUAAGAUUUGCCUGUGGCAAAGCUGCAAAGGAACCAGCCCCAUAACCAAGAUGUCACAAAGCCUCAAGAUCUGAGGGGAAAAAGCAGCUGGGUUAGGUAAAUGACAGGGGAAGAAGGAAGCUCUGUGCGUAGCCCCAUACCCUGCUGCUGCUGCAAAGAGACGGGCUGCUACCGUCCUGCAUGUGAGCUAGAGGCAUUGAUUCCUCUCUGGCACACGGAAUAUUCUGAGCGUUUCUCCGGUUAUAGUUGUAUCGCCCGUCUGAUCUCUAGGAAUGUUUAUGGACAGUGGACAGUCUAUUUAUUGUACGUGAUGUCUUUCCAUUAAGACAUCUCUUCCACGACACCCACUGCGGUAUUUGUUUCCAACAAAAGUAUAAGCUGUCUUUUCUUUCUCUCUUUCUUUUUUUUUUUUUUUUUUUUUUUUUUUUUUUUUUUUUUUUUUUUUUUAAAUAUUGUAAGCUUUAAAUAAAUCUAAUUUCCAUUUGGAUGAAGUGUAACUG